RNAcentral lists this ribosomal RNA (253 nucleotides) under uncultured bacterium. Its description in RNAcentral is "partial 16S ribosomal RNA". It matches the Rfam family "Bacterial small subunit ribosomal RNA", at positions 524 to 776 of the family's 1533-position model. The record is from RNAcentral.
AACGUAGGAGACAAACGUUAUCCGGAGUUACUGGGCGUAAAGGGCGUGCAGGCGGUCUGUUAAGUCUGGCGUGAAAGCUCUCGGCUAAACCGGGAGAGGUCGUUGGAUACUGACGGACUAGAGGACGGUAGAGGCGUGUGGAAUUCCGGGUGUAGUGGUGAAAUGCGUAGAGAUCCGGAGGAACACCAGUGGCGAAGGCGACACGCUGGGCCGUACCUGACGCUGAGGAGCGAAAGCAUGGGGAGCGAACAGG